Molecule: long non-coding RNA, 419 nt
Filed under: Anas platyrhynchos platyrhynchos (common mallard)
Lineage: Eukaryota; Metazoa; Chordata; Aves; Anseriformes; Anatidae
Description: lncRNA (ENSAPLG00000022751.1)
Source: RNAcentral
CACGUCGCUCUUGGUGGUGUAGACGCGGUCGGCCAGGCUCUCCAGGGCCACCCACUUGACGGGGACGGGGGCGACGCGGCCCUGCCGGUAGUACUGCCCCCCCCCCCACCGGCUUCGACAGCCCGAAGUCGGCCACGCACCCCCGCAGCCGCGCGCCCAGCGGGGGGGGGGGGCACCGACACCGUGUCACCACCGUCACCAUGUCACCGUCACCGUGACACCGUCACCACGACACCAUGUCACCACCAUCACCGUGUCACCGUGUCACCACCAUCACCACCACCAUCACGUCACCAUGUCACCGUCACCGUGUCACCGUCACCAUUGUGUCACCAUGUCACUGUCACCAUGUCACCACUGUCACCACUGUCACCACCAUCACCAUGUCACCAUGUCACCGUCACCGUGUCACCGUCACC